GGCGGGUCUCCCCGCAUUGCAGGGUAGUGAAUCUGGUCAGGUCCGGAAGGAAGCAGCCACAGCUAAUUACUGCAAGUGCCGGGGGUAAGGCUCGCCUCCUUAU
Molecule: signal recognition particle RNA, 103 nt
Filed under: Gallionella capsiferriformans ES-2
Lineage: Bacteria; Pseudomonadati; Pseudomonadota; Betaproteobacteria; Nitrosomonadales; Gallionellaceae
Description: SRP RNA; RNA component of signal recognition particle
Rfam family: Bacterial small signal recognition particle RNA
About the family: The signal recognition particle (SRP) is a universally conserved ribonucleoprotein involved in the co-translational targeting of proteins to membranes. Archaeal SRP consists of a 7S RNA and homologues of the eukaryotic SRP19 and SRP54 proteins.
Source: RNAcentral